Molecule: long non-coding RNA, 678 nt
Organism: Humulus lupulus (European hop)
Lineage: Eukaryota; Viridiplantae; Streptophyta; Magnoliopsida; Rosales; Cannabaceae
Exons: 3
Source: RefSeq, a predicted model, not a curated record
UACUUUGGUGGAACAAACUUUGGUCGGACUUCCGGCAGACCGUUCUAUAUUACUAGUUAUGAUUAUGAUGCUCCAAUUGAUGAAUAUGGCUUACUGAGUGAGCCUAAAUGGGGACAUCUAAAGGAUCUGCAUGCUGCUAUAAAGCUCUGUGAACCUUCUCUGGUUGCUGCUGAUUCACCCCAGUAUAUUAAAUUAGGACCAAAGCAAGAGCUUAGGAAUACAAGAACUGGGGCAACCAUAACAGCAAGGAUUGUGGAUCGGUGCAGCAAUGGGGGCUUAGAUUUGGACUUUAACACUAUAUUUAAGCCAUUAGACACCGAUGUAAUUGGAUAUCAACAGGGUUCUCUCCAAGUGGGCUACACAUUUGUCAAUUGUGGGGAUUAGUGAUGAUGAUCGAUUCAGCAGUACCAUUCUCGAAGAUAUAAAUCUCUUGGGAUGUAAUUAAUAACAAUAUAUACCAAAAACAUUCUGCUUAUAUAUGAAUAUAUAUAUAUAUAUAUAUAUAAAGCUGAUAUAUGGCUUAGUUAAGCUUAAAGUUAAAAGAGACUUAAUAAAACUUUUGGGAAGUUUGUUCCAAAGGGUAUAUCCUCAGCACUUCUGAAAUGUUCUUCUUGAGAACAUAAUAAAAUUUGUACCAUGUUGUAUGCUUCUGUUUUUAUCCAAUAUUUACAGGAGGAU